AAUGCACUUCAGGGCGGGGCGUAAUUCCCCACCGGCGGUAAAGCCCGCGAGCCGAAAGGCUGAUUCGGUGAAACUCCGAAGCCGACAGUAUAGUCUGGAUGAAAGAAGUAGGUA
Clostridium sulfidigenes is the source of this 114-nucleotide regulatory RNA element. It matches the Rfam family "FMN riboswitch aptamer (RFN element)". Rfam says of the family: The RFN element is a highly conserved domain that is found frequently in the 5'-untranslated regions of prokaryotic mRNAs that encode for flavin mononucleotide (FMN) biosynthesis and transport proteins. This element is a metabolite-dependent riboswitch that directly binds FMN in the absence of proteins. NCBI's taxonomy places the organism in Bacteria, Bacillati, Bacillota, Clostridia, Eubacteriales, Clostridiaceae. The record is from Rfam.